RNAcentral lists this long non-coding RNA (346 nucleotides) under Homo sapiens (human). RNAcentral's name for it is "SEC62 antisense RNA 1 (SEC62-AS1)". The record is from RNAcentral. Lineage: Eukaryota; Metazoa; Chordata; Mammalia; Primates; Hominidae.
AGUCAUCAACCUCUUAACAUACGAGAAGUAAUUUCUAAGGUAAAUAAAUUCCAAAGAUCUUUCCUUCAGUAGUAGUGGUUCUUCUGGCGCUAGAAAAUGAUUAUAGGAUAACUAUAAAUUCUAUAAAGCACUUAAGUAAAUUUGUAUGUUCUUACAUACACUUAAAAAUUUGUUUGACUGGGCUUGGUGGCUCACGCCUAUAAUCCCAGCACUUUGGAGGCCAAGGCGGGCAGAUCACUUGAGGUCAGGAGUUCAAGACAAGCCUGGCCAACAUGGUGAAACCCUGCCUCUACUAAAAAUACAAAAAUUAGCCAGGUGUGUAGAGAUGGGGUUUCGCUAUGUUGGC